ACAGUUCCUCCUCCGCCCUGGUCCCUGCCGACAAAGACCAAGCCAGCUGCAGGCAAUCACCAGGCAACCGGCUUCUAACCCGGCCUCCAGAACCCAACUUCCCUCCACCUGGUUGGAGCACAGGAUUUUAGCUUUUCUUAGUAUCACUUUAUCAGCUGGCCAGCCAUGACCUGAGAAUAUGUGUCUCUUUCAGAAACAUGUCCGACCAAAGUAAUCAGUUAAUGAAGUAACUUGGAAACCCAGACCAUGCAAAAGAGACGUGUAAAAUGUGAAGGACAGAGUCAGUCAGCACUUGGGAAACAUUCGACAAUGCACACCUGGUUUCCUAAGGUUUAAAAUGUAUAAUCAAAUGACACGUAAGUUCUGAGAUAUCAUGGCCCCGAAUGAGAAUUUACAAGAGGCUAUCAAAAAAACGAAUGAUGUGGUGCAGCAGGGAGGCUGUGGAAUCAGGCAGAACUGGAUUCCAAUCUGUUUCUGUGCUUUGCUGUGCAACCUGGAACAAAUGGCACGUCCUCACUAACCCUCAGUGCUCUCAUCUCUAAGGUGGGAAUCACAAGAGUCAUCCCCCAAUUCAGUGGGUCGGUGUGGGGAUUCAAAUUAGGAAAUGUAUGUAAAACACUCGACUCACCACAGUUUCUAGGUCAUAAUAAGCACUUCCUAAAUGAAAACUACUAAGCACUCCUGUCUCACAGAUAAUGUCUUUAAAAAUCGUAAAUUUAAUUUUCAAACUUAGGAAAUAAUGAAGACAUCACUGGGAAAGUAUCUGACUCCCAAACCAGGUAAUGGGGAAACUUGGAAAUCCAGACCACUUGGAACAGAUUUGUUAAAGUGCCAGGGACAGGAAUCCUACCCAAGUGAUGAUCAGUAAACAUUUAUUGAUACUGACCAUGUUUUCUUCAGGUUUAAAAUAAAACAUCUGGAAGGAUUACAGGAUCACUUGGGGUUCUUCCUGAAAUAUUAUGAUAUCAAAGUAAGAAUUCAAAACACCACAACUGGGGGGCACCUGGGUGGCUCAGUUGGUUAAGUGUCUGCC
Lutra lutra (Eurasian river otter) is the source of this 1033-nucleotide long non-coding RNA. RefSeq lists it as uncharacterized. The transcript has 3 exons. Lineage: Eukaryota; Metazoa; Chordata; Mammalia; Carnivora; Mustelidae. The record is from RefSeq and is a predicted model, not a curated record.